Molecule: ribosomal RNA, 496 nt
Filed under: uncultured bacterium
Lineage: Bacteria
Description: partial 16S ribosomal RNA
Rfam family: Bacterial small subunit ribosomal RNA
Source: RNAcentral
GAUGAACGCUGGCGGCGUGCCUAAUACAUGCAAGUCGAGCGAACAGACGAGGAGCUUGCUCCUCUGACGUUAGCGGCGGACGGGUGAGUAACACGUGGAUAACCUACCUAUAAGACUGGGAUAACUUUGGGAAACCGGAGCUAAUACCGGAUAAUAUAUUGAACCGCAUGGUUCAAUAGUGAAAGACGGUUUUGCUGUCACUUAUAGAUGGAUCCGCGCCGCAUAGCUAGUUGGUAAGGUAACGGCUUACCAAGGCGACGAUGCGUAGCCGACCUGAGAGGGUGAUCGGCCACACUGGAACUGAGACACGGUCCAGACUCCUACGGGAGGCAGCAGUAGGGAAUCUUCCGCAAUGGGCGAAAGCCUGACGGAGCAACGCCGCGUGAGUGAUGAAGGUCUUCGGAUCGUAAAACUCUGUUAUUAGGGAAGAACAAAUGUGUAAGUAACUAUGCACGUCUUGACGGUACCUAAUCAGAAAGCCACGGCUAACUACGUG